UUUGUUGAGGGCUACAGUUGGACUUGCAUCCUCAAAAACUAUGUCUACAGGUGGCUCUGGUACAUCAAUUGAGUACAAAUGUGCAUCUUCUGUUAAUCCACCAAUUGAAGUGCCAAUUGCGUUGUUACGAUUCCUAUCGUCGGUAAAUCUUCAACCGUCAAUAAAGGAGACGAUGCAUCCUAUUUAGUAAUGAGGUUGAGGGUUAAAGGGCCCAUUGUUGGAGUACUGACUCCAACUAAUGUAGAGCGUCGAUUAUCCUUGACUCGUUUUAGAGAGAAGUAUAUUUACAGUCAUCCAACAAUUACAAAUAUUAAUUAUUUAUACUUUGUACUAUCUAAUGAUUCAAUUCAUUAUGUUACAAUACUUGUGCAAAGAUUGGAGUGACUACGACAAUAACAACAAUAUUAAAGAGUCACUUUAGUGGUCCGCCGCCUACUCGGAGGCAAGUUCCAAACGAUGUGAAGGAACUUAUUCAAAGUAUUAAUUGUAAUGACCAUAUCGAUUUGUUAUACUUUAUUUACUUUAAUACAUAAUGUGUUCUUGAAGGAUAUUUUUACGUGGGCCUAUACAAAUGCUUCAAUGGUCUAAAAAAUUGGGAAAAAAUUUAUAAAGACCACUUGAAAGAUUUGUUAUGGGGUGAGCACAGAAUAACUAUGGACCAAGUCGAUGUAAAUAACACCCUCCAAUGAAAGGGAAGCUUAGACCAUGGAUCACGACUGAAGUUUGAAUGACUUUUUUGAUAAUGUGUGGGCCACUGAGAAUUGAUGGAAUCGAUCGUAGAAGCCCAAGGUGAACGAUUUGAUAGAGAAGGAAGGAAGCAUUAUAGAACUCACAUAAGUCAGAGGCAAUAGACUGACUGGUGACAUUCUUCGAUUUUUUCAACCACACCUACAAGCAACUAGCGGGUUGUAGUGAUUUUGUAGAUAACAUGUCAAAGAUUAUAAAUGAAAUCUAUGCUUCUACGUUAUCAAGAAGCAUGGUGAAUGCUCCUUGCCUCAACUGGACUUUGAUCUGCAAGCAUUGUCUCAAGCCUUUGGAGGGGUGCAGACCACCCGCACCCAUGUUUACGAAUUUGGCGCAAGAGUGCGAGCUGCAUCAUUACUUGAUGCAGUUAGCAUGGGUGCUCCAACGUCCGAGUUUGCGGGCUAGCCAGACACUAAUAAGGACGUAGAGACUCUGAAGCGAGGUGUCACUACAGUCAAGACCUCCAUUCUACGAAUUUGGCACAAGCGAGAUGCCAGCUGCAUCACUAUUGCAUAGUUGUUGUAAUACGUCAAAGGAAACACCUUCAGUUAAUCAUCAAAGCAAACAGGUCCAUCUAAUACCGAAAAUUUUGCAUCGAACAAUGAUGGCACGUUUAGCUUUUAGGA
This is a non-coding RNA of Theobroma cacao (cacao), 1370 nucleotides long. NCBI's taxonomy places the organism in Eukaryota, Viridiplantae, Streptophyta, Magnoliopsida, Malvales, Malvaceae. The record is from RefSeq and is a predicted model, not a curated record.